GACGAACGCUGGCGGCGUGCCUAAUACAUGCAAGUAGAACGCUGAAGAGAGGAGCUUGCUCUUCUUGGAUGAGUUGCGAACGGGUGAGUAACGCGUAGGUAACCUGCCUUGUAGCGGGGGAUAACUAUUGGAAACGAUAGCUAAUACCGCAUAACAAUGGAUGACACAUGUCAUUUAUUUGAAAGGGGCAAUUGCUCCACUACAAGAUGGACCUGCGUUGUAUUAGCUAGUAGGUGAGGUAAUGGCUCACCUAGGCGACGAUACAUAGCCGACCUGAGAGGGUGAUCGGCCACACUGGGAGUGAGACACGGCCCAGACUCCUACGGGAGGCAGCAGUAGGGAAUCUUCGGCAAUGGGGGCAACCCUGACCGAGCAACGCCGCGUGAGUGAAGAAGGUUUUCGGAUCGUAAAGCUCUGUUGUAAGUCAAGAACGGGUGUGAGAGUGGAAAGUUCACACUGUGACGGUAGCUUACCAGAAAGGGACGGCUAACUACGUG
RNAcentral lists this ribosomal RNA (497 nucleotides) under uncultured bacterium. Its description in RNAcentral is "partial 16S ribosomal RNA". It matches the Rfam family "Bacterial small subunit ribosomal RNA", at positions 28 to 507 of the family's 1533-position model. The record is from RNAcentral.